CACGGUUGGAUAGGAUUCGUCCCUGUUACGUGUGCGGAUUUUGUGGUUUUGCGAAUUUUUUUUAAUUUUCGAAAGAGUUUUUCGUGUCCUAAUUGAAGUUGUCAUCCGUCAUUCUUACACAUGACAAGUUGUAGAUGGAACUGAAAACUGUCUCCAAGCAGGUGCCCCACAUUAAUCUCUGAGCUAGCAUUGGACAUUUAUAUUUAAUGUUUCUUACAACCUAGUUUCGAAAACAACUCAAGUUCCAUGGCGCACGGGAAGACACAUGGACUCCCACCCAUGUAGGAGCUAGUGGAUUGGCAGCUCCAAAAAACUUCACCGGAAUGACGGCAUCCGACAGGCGACAUGUAUAAUUUACAAGAUUAACGAUACAAAAAUUGAUUUCAAUGCCAUUAAAAAUGUCGAAAAUAAUCUGAGA
Molecule: long non-coding RNA, 418 nt
Organism: Drosophila ananassae
Lineage: Eukaryota; Metazoa; Arthropoda; Insecta; Diptera; Drosophilidae
Exons: 2
Source: RefSeq, a predicted model, not a curated record